CGGGAAGGCGGGGGACCCGGGACGUCCAAAUAUCCAGCUGUUUCCUAGAUGCUUAACCCCGGGCGGAUCUGCGGGCAGUCGCAAGCACCAGCACAGCUCCUCCUCACCCCGGUCCUUCCACUGGAGCUCGGCCAGCGAGAGACUACUGGCGUUAGAAGCAAUGGCAGCUGCGAACACAACUGUUACUUUUAUUUUUAUUAGUACACGUUUGCAGUACAUAAUGACCGUAUUUAUCAUGAGGAGUUGAUACAGGUGUUGGCUGCAGGUUCUCUCCUCUGCAGCUUGCUCCAGCCAUGCAUGUGGAGAGGGCAGUUUAUUACUACCCACAUCAUGAAGGCUCAUUUUAGGAAGAACAGCCCGUCAGUUAUCCAGUACACAUUCAAGAAGAUUGCGUCAUUCUAAGGCUUGGACAUCAGGAGAGCGCAUCACUAGAUCACCAGCGGGCUAUGUGACCUGUUGAAUGGGUUGCAGUUGUCAAAUCUGCUCCCACCAGUUCAUUUCUGUACAACUUGAGAGUGGUCAAAGAAGGAGAAUCAAUGGGCUUUUACUCAGCUGUUUUUUUUUUUUUUUAAACAAAGACAGUAAAUCAGAAGCCCUAAAGAGAAUUAUGUUCAUGGCAAGACUUUCUGAGAUCUGGUAAACCAUUCAUAUAAACAAAUUAUGCAGUUCCUUCUUCAGUUGACCUGGAUCCUGAGCAUGGGAUGACCCUACAGCUUUUUGUUCUCUCCAUCACUACAGAAGCUUCAGACUGCGUUCUGUAAGACCUUACGACAUGGAGGAAAGUUGAAGACAGAAAUGGUCCAUAUAUGUUUUCAAGCUGGGUCAUAUUGGCACCAUUUUGGCUACUCUCUAGGGAAGGAGAGCCAACAUAAAGGAAGAAAAAGGAUCAGAAAUUGGUGUGUUGUCCAUGAGAAGAAGAAAGAGUGAUUUGUCCUUCAUCCUGUCUGAUGAAGAUGUGUCUUUGUUGGAAUGGACAAACAGAAGCAAAUGGCUAAAGAGGUAGAAGGAGACAGCCAUAUGUGUUUCCACAGGAAGAAAUACACCUCGUGGAAGCUUUCAGGAAAAAAGACAUGAUGCAAGAAAUAUGAUGCAUCAAAAAGAAAAGAAAGAAUUGUGUAUAUUCUUCUUCUGCAAAAUGCAAACACACACACACACAUACACACACACACACACACUCACGCACACACCACAGCCCACCCAUAAUCCUUUUUUAGCCCCUCUAUCCUGUUGAUCUUUCUUCUCUUAAAAAUUAUCAGCAAAGAAGUAAUUCCUUUGGGAGGAUUCCAGGCACUGCAUUUGUCCGUGUGAAACGGGACCCAGAUUUUUCAAAGCAUGUUUCACAGAUAAAACGGAAGGCGGAGCUGCAUUACCUAGACAUCACCCCUUUUGCCCCUCUGGCCACCUUUGUUUCUAAGCAACUGAAAGAGUGCUGGGCACACUGCAGAAGUUCCCCCUGGUAGUGACUGAAGGAUGAUUUUAGCUAAAAAGGACAAUUUCAUCACUAACGAGACGGAGGAGUUCCACUGGAAAAGAGUUUUACUGGUGCAUUCUACUAAACGAUCUAAGUCCCUUCAUUGUUACAAAUGGGUAAUCAAAGAGAAUCUUGUUUUGUGCCAAAUAUCUCCAUUAAAUUGUAUUAGCAUAGCAAAUUCUUAUUAUGAUGGGUUUCUCUGUGUAAUCAGAAGUUGUCCGUAGUCCUGUUGAUUAGUACACUUACUCCAAAAAUUUUAAAGCACUAAAUUUCAGAGAAAGUCAAUAUUUGGCCAAGUUUUAGGAAGUUCAUUACACCUCAUUUAGAAGGGAUACUAUGUUCUACUCAAAAAAGGCCUAAUUCUCUCAAGGCAGUUGUUCCCAGACUAACAAACAAACAAAUGAAGCCCUGCAAAUAGGUCCCCUCUGCAGCCAUCAAAAAUCACUCCUGGAAGUGCUACAGUAGGGCUUUACCUGCAGAAACCCAGGGGUCUGUGAUGGCCUCUCCGAUUUGAAAAACUCAAUGGGCACAUGCAAAGGUAAAUUGCACCAGUAACUCCAGGACUAUCUGCUGUGAAAAGAAUAAAAAUGUUUAAGAAGCCAA
Long non-coding RNA from Cavia porcellus (domestic guinea pig), 2074 nucleotides. RefSeq lists it as uncharacterized. The record is from RefSeq and is a predicted model, not a curated record. The transcript has 5 exons. Lineage: Eukaryota; Metazoa; Chordata; Mammalia; Rodentia; Caviidae.